RNAcentral lists this ribosomal RNA (514 nucleotides) under uncultured Actinomycetes bacterium. RNAcentral's name for it is "bacterial SSU rRNA". It matches the Rfam family "Bacterial small subunit ribosomal RNA", at positions 390 to 896 of the family's 1533-position model. Lineage: Bacteria; Bacillati; Actinomycetota; Actinomycetes. The record is from RNAcentral.
AGCAACGCCGCGUGGGGGAAGAAGGCCUUCGGGUUGUAAACCCUUUCAGGAGGGACGAAGGUUCGCCGGUGAAUAGCCGUGCGGAUUGACGGUACCUCCACAAGAAGCUCCGGCUAACUACGUGCCAGCAGCCGCGGUAAUACGUAGGGAGCAAGCGUUGUCCGGAAUCAUUGGGCGUAAAGCGCGCGUAGGUGGCCCCAUAAGUCCGCUGUGAAAGUCAAAGGCUCAACCUUUGAAAGCCGGUGGAUACUGUGGGACUAGAGUACGGAAGAGGCGAGUGGAAUUCCUGGUGUAGCGGUGGAAUGCGCAGAUAUCAGGAGGAACACCAAUAGCGAAGGCAGCUCGCUGGGACGUUACUGACACUGAGGCGCGAAAGCGUGGGGAGCGAACAGGAUUAGAUACCCUGGUAGUCCACGCCGUAAACGAUGGGUACUAGGUGUGGGAGGUGUCGACUCCUCCCGUGCCGUCGCUAACGCACUAAGUACCCCGCCUGGGGAGUACGGCCGCAAGGCUA